This 71-nucleotide transfer RNA is filed under the name Marmota monax (woodchuck). Its description in RNAcentral is "tRNA.Ala". Lineage: Eukaryota; Metazoa; Chordata; Mammalia; Rodentia; Sciuridae. The record is from RNAcentral.
GAGUGGAGUUCAGUGGUUGAACAUUUGCCUGGCAUGCAUUCAGCCCUGGGUUCCAUCCCCGGUACCAUGCA